CACAGAACCACAAGUUGGGUACAGAGGCAGUCACCCAAGAGCGGGUCCGGGAUAUUGGUCAGCAGGGAGGGCGAAUCGUUGUGCCUGCAAACCACAGGGUUUCGGAGGGUGGUGGAAGAACCCCUAAAUUCUCUCCCAGUGAAGAGAGAGUGAGUUUUAAAGAGGAAAGGAUGGCUUCAAACAGCAUAUUUGAGUCACUUCCUUCUUACCAGCACUUCUUGAGAGAGCACAAAUCCUGUUAAAGCUGGGGGAGAAAGAUCUCCUGGAAGCAGCUCUGUCAUCUGCCAGAUGAUUUGUGGCUUCCUGCAGGACAUCUGGGAUUGGCCGUGGAG
RNAcentral lists this long non-coding RNA (332 nucleotides) under Cyanistes caeruleus (blue tit). RNAcentral's name for it is "lncRNA (ENSCCEG00000018382.1)". The record is from RNAcentral. Lineage: Eukaryota; Metazoa; Chordata; Aves; Passeriformes; Paridae.